Molecule: ribosomal RNA, 496 nt
Filed under: uncultured bacterium
Lineage: Bacteria
Description: partial 16S ribosomal RNA
Rfam family: Bacterial small subunit ribosomal RNA
Source: RNAcentral
AUGAACGCUGGCGGCGUGCCUAAUACAUGCAAGUCGAGCGAACAGACGAGGAGCUUGCUCCUCUGACGUUAGCGGCGGACGGGUGAGUAACACGUGGAUAACCUACCUAUAAGACUGGGAUAACUUCGGGAAACCGGAGCUAAUACCGGAUAAUAUAUUGAACCGCAUGGUUCAAUAGUGAAAGACGGUUUUGCUGUCACUUAUAGAUGGAUCCGCGCCGCAUUAGCUAGUUGGUAAGGUAACGGCUUACCAAGGCAACGAUGCGUAGCCGACCUGAGAGGGUGAUCGGCCACACUGGAACUGAGACACGGUUCAGACUCCUACGGGAGGCAGCAGUAGGGAAUCUUCCGCAAUGGGCGAAAGCUUGACGGAGCAACGCCGCGUGAGUGAUGAAGGUCUUCGGAUCGUAAAACUCUGUUAUUAGGGAAGAACAAAUGUGUAAGUAACUAUGCACGUCUUGACGGUACCUAAUCAGAAAGCCACGGCUAACUACGUG